AGUGACCUGCGGAGGAUCAUUAU
This 23-nucleotide ribosomal RNA is filed under the name Meruliopsis parvispora. RNAcentral's name for it is "partial 18S ribosomal RNA". Lineage: Eukaryota; Fungi; Basidiomycota; Agaricomycetes; Polyporales; Irpicaceae. The record is from RNAcentral.